Molecule: microRNA precursor, 207 nt
Filed under: Oryza barthii
Lineage: Eukaryota; Viridiplantae; Streptophyta; Magnoliopsida; Poales; Poaceae
Description: MIR812 microRNA precursor family
Rfam family: MIR812 microRNA precursor family
Source: Rfam by way of RNAcentral
AAAAAGACAAACCCUGAAUUUCCGUGUCCAACGUUUGACCGUCCGUCUUAUUUAAAAAAAUAUGAAAAAAAUUAAAAAGACAAGUUACGCAUAAAGUAUUAAUCAUGUUUUAUCAUCUAACAACAAUGAAAAUACUAAUUAUAAAAAAAAAUUCAUAUAAAACGAAUAGUCAAACGUUGGACACGAAAAUUUAGGAUUUGUCUUUUU